This 465-nucleotide ribosomal RNA is filed under the name uncultured Klebsiella sp. RNAcentral describes it as "bacterial SSU rRNA". It matches the Rfam family "Bacterial small subunit ribosomal RNA", at positions 338 to 795 of the family's 1533-position model. The record is from RNAcentral. Lineage: Bacteria; Pseudomonadati; Pseudomonadota; Gammaproteobacteria; Enterobacterales; Enterobacteriaceae.
CCUACGGGGGGCAGCAGUGGGGAAUAUUGCACAAUGGGCGCAAGCCUGAUGCAGCCAUGCCGCGUGUGUGAAGAAGGCCUUCGGGUUGUAAAGCACUUUCAGCGGGGAGGAAGGCGUUAAGGUUAAUAACCUUGGCGAUUGACGUUACCCGCAGAAGAAGCACCGGCUAACUCCGUGCCAGCAGCCGCGGUAAUACGGAGGGUGCAAGCGUUAAUCGGAAUUACUGGGCGUAAAGCGCACGCAGGCGGUCUGUCAAGUCGGAUGUGAAAGCCCCGGGCUCAACCUGGGAACUGCAUUCGAAACUGGCAGUCUAGAGUCUUGUAGAGGGGGGUAGAAUUCCAGGUGUAGCGGUGAAAUGCGUAGAGAUCUGGAGGAAUACCGGUGGCGAAGGCGGCCCCCUGGACAAAGACUGACGCUCAGGUGCGAAAGCGUGGGGAGCAAACAGGAUUAGAUACCCCGGUAGUC